Molecule: long non-coding RNA, 256 nt
Filed under: Lathyrus oleraceus (garden pea)
Lineage: Eukaryota; Viridiplantae; Streptophyta; Magnoliopsida; Fabales; Fabaceae
Description: Pisum sativum (pea) long non-coding RNA (PSAT_LNC015101)
Source: RNAcentral
UAGAAUCUGGCCAGAUGUUCCCAGGAGUCACUAUUUGCAUUCUCGUCGAAUUGCUUAUGCCUCAAACCUAAUAGCUUAGAAUAUUUGAUGUUGAAAUUUACUGGGGUUUCAGGAAUGAAACCCAAGGAAACCUGUGUUGCGUUAGUAGGUCGACAAUAGUCCCCCACAGUUUGUGAUAUUGGUUUGCCCAUGUGUGUUUCUACUUGAGCUGCAGAUACACAAACAAGAAAUACCUCAGUAGCACUAUGAUAAACAA